Molecule: long non-coding RNA, 574 nt
Organism: Galeopterus variegatus (Sunda flying lemur)
Lineage: Eukaryota; Metazoa; Chordata; Mammalia; Dermoptera; Cynocephalidae
Exons: 3
Source: RefSeq, a predicted model, not a curated record
GCUGGCUCUGAGUCAGCAGAGCCCCAGAGAGAAGCAGCAGGUGCACGGCCUGCAGGGAAAUAGUUUUAAAGAGAAUAUUCAAGAAGCGAAAGCACUUAAGAAAACAUUCAAAGUUCUGAGAACACAUGAAAUCCACAAUCUAAUUGGUAUUUAACUACAACAGAAGCAUGUAGAUGAACAUUCACCACUGCCCAGACCAUUAAGAUUUUAGCUUAAAUUAGAAGAAAAAAAAAUGCUAUUGUAAACUAGGAAAUAUAGUCAGAUCAGCAUCCACAAGGCUUCUGAGUUUAUCUUCUUUAGGACUAACUCCAAAUCUCUAACGUCAGAAAAGUUUUUUUGACACAUAAGUCAACCUGUGCCAAUAUAAAAUAAAGCAAAACAAAACCAAAGAAUUCUCAUUGUUGGUAUUAGUCUAAGUUGGGUUUUUAAAAACCAUUAUUCAUGUAUAAUGCCAGAUACAAUAUCAUGGUACGGCUGAAGCCAAUUAAUAGAGCUAGUAAUUAAACUAUACCGAUUUUUUACUUCUUAAAAAAUUAUAUUUUGCUUAUUUCCAUUUUCCCUGGGGGGAGGGGGA